Molecule: ribosomal RNA, 614 nt
Filed under: Ochthebius bonnairei
Lineage: Eukaryota; Metazoa; Arthropoda; Insecta; Coleoptera; Hydraenidae
Description: partial 16S ribosomal RNA
Rfam family: Bacterial large subunit ribosomal RNA
Source: RNAcentral
GUCUUUUUGUUUAAAAUUUAAAGUCUAACCUGCCCAAUGAUUUUUUAAUGGCUGCGGUAUUUUGACCGUACAAAGGUAGCAUAAUCAUUAGUUUUUUAAUUGAAAACUUGUAUGAAUGGUUGAACGAGAAAAUUACUGUCUCAAUUUAAAUUUAUUAGAACUUUAUUUUUAAGUUAAAAAGCUUAAAUAAAAUUAAAAGACGAGAAGACCCUAUAGAGUUUUAUAUUUAUUUCAAAUAAGUUUUUAGUAUCUAGUAAUUUUUAAAUAAAUAUUUUAUUGGGGUGAUAAAUAAAUUUAAUUAACUUUAUUAAAUUACAAUCAUUAAUUUAUGAGUUAUUGAUCCAAUAUUUUUGAUUAAAAGAUUAAAUUACCUUAGGGAUAACAGCGUAAUUUUUUUUGAGAGUUCUUAUCGAAAAAAAAGAUUGCGACCUCGAUGUUGGAUUAAAAUUAAUUUUUGGUGUAGAAGCUAAAAUAUUAAGUCUGUUCGACUUUUAAUUUUUUACAUGAUCUGAGUUUAAAUCGGUGUGAGCCAGAUUGGUUUCUAUCUUUAUUAUAUUAAAAUGUUUUAGUACGAAAGGACCAAACAUUAAUAAAAAUUAUUUUAUUUUGAAUUU